AUGAGAAAACUGAGGCAAAUAGGGUCAAAGGACUUGCCCAAGGUCACAGAGUUCAUCAUACCAAGAUUUUCUGGGAUGCUGAUUCCAUCAUUCAACAUCUCAACUAUUUCUCCCGCAUUUAAGAAAAUUGAUAAGCAUGAUAUCUGUCAUCAACAUAUUGUUGGGAAAAAUGUUGAACAGUGGAGAGUCUGCCUGGCACAUUAGAAGCCUCCAUUCAGCUAAACAUUGACAUCUUUGGGUCUGCACCCAGGAAUCGGGUUGCCUGAGAGGGACUUCCCCAGCCUCUGGGAGCUUCAAACCAGGUUCCCGCUUCAUUUCCACUCCUGACUCAGGAUGGCUGCCAUAAAGGCCUUACAGCAGUGGUGCCGGCAGCAGUGUGAAGGCUACCCCGGGGUCAGCAUCGUCAACAUGACCACCUCCUUCAGGGACGGCUUGGCCUUCUGUGCCAUCCUGCACCGGCACAGACCAGACCUCAUGUGAGUAGGGGAUGCCCUUGGCUAUGCUCAAAGAGCUCGGACAAGUGUUGGUGGCAUCUGCCAGACCGAGGUCCGGGCUGCUGUCCCAUUUCACCUUGAAUGAAACCAAGCUUCCUGCAUCCUGGUUCUCUUUGUCUCAGGACCUCCCACCAAGUAAGGGGGGUGGGCGGCGGGCGGCGGGGGGGACCUGACCACAGUCUGGCAUUUCUCUGAAAAGGGUUUAGAGGAGAGCCUGCUGGUAUUGGAAUCAGGAACACCUGGGACCAAAUCCCUCCCACUCCAUUCAGUAACUCCUGUGAAUGUGGGCAAAUCACUUACUGUUUCUGAACCUCGGUUUUCCUUGCCUAUAAAAUGGGAACAAUAAGAGCCUGAAGGUUUACUUCAGAAGGUUUUUCCGAGGUGUAAGUGAGAUAAUGUAUGUUAAGGGCUUUGAAAACUUUAAAGAGUUAUAGAGAUGUCAGUUAUUAUAGCCAACAAGCUGAAACCCCAGGAGUUCAGGCUCCUCCUCCUCCUCCCUCCUUGGCAAAAUGCAGAAAACAGAGAUUCUUGGGUCACUUGACAUAGCCCCACUGCUCCCUGCAAUAACCUGACCCUGUUACCUCAGCUCUUUAGUUACCACUACCAUGUCUCCUGCCUCUCUCGGCCCUCUGAUGAGUGAGGUGGGUAUUAGCGCCCUUUAGGUUUCUUUUGUCUGGAGACCACACUUCAGAGCCAGAGUUGUUGGAUUGAUGGAAAAGUCCCUCUUUCCCCUGGAGCCAGUUGGGCCAGGUCAGGAGGAGCUCAGUUUGGGUGGGGAUGGGGCUCUGCUGAAUGUGUGAGAGUCCAUCAGACCAGGGACUGGCUGGGAGCCCGGAGCCUGCUCUCUUUUAGGAGCUCUGGAGACGGUGGGUUAUUGCCAGCCAGUACAACCUGGGUAGCAGAGUUGGGGUGGAGGUGGGGUCUAAAUCCUUGACUGGAAGCGAGGAACUACCAAAUCUUAACCAGAAUCUUCUUUCCCCACUGGUGACAUGGAAAAGGGGUUGGGGAGGGAAUUAGACCAAGCAUUUCUCCCUCUAGGCUUGAAAUAACCCAUAACCCCCUGGUGGAAUUAUGCCUCAGGAAAGAUCUGAACUGGAAGGUGGUUUUCUAGGGCUUUGUUUGGAAAAGAUCUGGGUUGUUGGUGCUAAACUCUGGGUUUACUGGGCCAUUGAGAGUGGUAGCUAGUCAGGUCUCUCCACCUUCCCUAGCAGAAGCCAAGGUCAUGCUGAAUGGGAAAGAGUUGCAUAAAAACAUUUCUUCAGAGGUGUAAGUUUAAAAUACUCCCAUUCUGGAGUUUGGAAAAUGGAGAAUGAAGUGCCAGGAAAGUAGGGUUCGGGAAUACCCUGGGAUGGGAUCUUGCCUCAGUGAACUAGUGGAACAACUCAUUUGGAGCAAGACUGUAGUGACUGCUGAAGCCAAGGAGUUGGGAAUGAAUGGUAACUAGUCAACCCUGGCUUGCCACUCCAAGCUAGGCUGGUCAUGUGGAGACUUGGUUUCUGGCUCCUGCUACUGCAGGGAAGGCAAGAAACCCUUUCAAAAAAUGGCUUUUAUUUAUUUUGCCCCUUCCUCUCUCUCCAGAACUAUGAACUUCCUUACAACAGAUUUGGAAAUGUCCAGUUAUCAUUUCUAUUCUAAAAAAACCUCAUUUAAAAUAAGUUAAGGAAUGCUUUUUUGCCCUUAAAAAGAAAUGAAAAUGUUUGUGUAGGCUCUGCUUCCUUCAAAUGGUAAUUUUCAGCAGGGUGUUAAGAUUUUAUUCCAUUCCUUCAAACACACAGUGUUCCAGGCAUUGUGGUACAGUGAAAAGGGGUCAGAGGAUCUGUGUCUUCUGCUUAUUCUCUCUAUCAUCUUAUGUGCAAGUCACUUGGCUGAGUUUGUGACUGAGUUUCCUCUUUUGUAAAAUGUUGGGGUUGGACUAGACCAGUGGUAUUAUACUCAAAUAGAAAUAGAGACCAGUGGUCUACACAUGAGGAUCCUUUCACAUAAGAUAUUGACUUAGUUUAAAAAUGUAAUAUUAUGGGGAUUUUAAUUUAUUUUCUUAAAUAUUUCCCAAUUACAUUUUAAUCUGGUCCCAAGGGUACUUGGAGAUGUUGUAGACUACAUGAGGAUGUUUGGACCUCUGGGGUCAGUUCAAUUCAAUAAACAUUCAUUAAGCAUCUAAGAACA
This 2657-nucleotide long non-coding RNA is filed under the name Monodelphis domestica (gray short-tailed opossum). RNAcentral's name for it is "lncRNA (ENSMODG00000048818.1)". The record is from RNAcentral. Lineage: Eukaryota; Metazoa; Chordata; Mammalia; Didelphimorphia; Didelphidae.